AUUGAACGCUGGCGGCAGGCCUAACACAUGCAAGUCGAACGAGUGGCGGACGGGUGAGUAAUGUCUGGGAAACUGCCUGAUGGAGGGGGAUAACUACUGGAAACGGUAGCUAAUACCGCAUACCAUCAGAUGUGCCCAGAUGGGAUUAGCUUGUUGGUGGGGUAACGGCUCACCAAGGCGACGAUCCCUAGCUGGUCUGAGAGGAUGACAAGCCAAAUGGGAACGGAGAAACGGCCAAGACUCCUACGGGAGGAAGCAGUGGGAAAGAUUGCACAAUGGGCGCAAGCUGGAUGCAGCCAUGCCGGGUGUAGGAAGAAGGCUUGCGGGUUGUAAAGUACUUUCAGCGGGGAGGCGUUACCCGCAGAAGAAGCACCGGCUAACUCCGGGCCAGCAGCCGCGGUAAUAC
This 406-nucleotide ribosomal RNA is filed under the name uncultured bacterium. RNAcentral's name for it is "partial 16S ribosomal RNA". It matches the Rfam family "Bacterial small subunit ribosomal RNA", at positions 29 to 526 of the family's 1533-position model. The record is from RNAcentral.